RNAcentral lists this ribosomal RNA (476 nucleotides) under uncultured bacterium. RNAcentral's name for it is "bacterial SSU rRNA". It matches the Rfam family "Bacterial small subunit ribosomal RNA", at positions 26 to 507 of the family's 1533-position model. The record is from RNAcentral.
UGGCUCGAGGACGAACGCUGGCGGCGUGCUUAACACAUGCAAGUCGAACGGAAAGGCCCAGCUUGCUGGGGUACUCGAGUGGCGAACGGGUGAGUAACACGUGGGUGAUCUGCCCUGCACUCUGGGAUAAGCCUGGGAAACUGGGUCUAAUACCGGAUAUGAUCAACUGUCUCAUGGUGGUUGGUGGAAAGCUUUUGCGGUGUGGGAUGGGCCCGCGGCCUAUCAGCUUGUUGGUGGGGUAAUGGCCUACCAAGGCGACGACGGGCAGCCGACCUGAGAGGGUGAUCGGCCACACUGGGACUGAGACACGGCCCAGACUCCUACGGGAGGCAGCAGUGGGGAAUAUUGCACAAUGGGCGCAAGCCUGAUGCAGCGACGCCGCGUGAGGGAUGACGGCCUUCGGGUUGUAAACCUCUUUCACCAGGGACGAAGCGUGAGUGACGGUACCUGGAGAAGAAGCACCGGCCAACUACGUG